RNAcentral lists this ribosomal RNA (509 nucleotides) under uncultured bacterium. RNAcentral's name for it is "bacterial SSU rRNA". It matches the Rfam family "Bacterial small subunit ribosomal RNA", at positions 32 to 573 of the family's 1533-position model. The record is from RNAcentral.
CACGCUGGCGGCGUGCCUAACACAUGCAAGUCGAACGAGAAAGUGGAGCAAUCCAUGAGUAAAGUGGCGACCGGGUGAGUAACACGUGACUAACCUACCCUCGAGUGGGGAAUAACUCCGGGAAACCGGGGCUAAUACCGCAUAACAUCGCAAGAUCAAAGCAGCAAUGCGCUUGAGGAGGGGGUCGCGGCUGAUUAGCUAGUUGGCGGGGUAACGGCCCACCAAGGCGAAGAUCGGUAUCCGGCCUGAGAGGGCGCACGGACACACUGGAACUGAAACACGGUCCAGACUCCUACGGGAGGCAGCAGUGGGGAAUUUUGCGCAAUGGGGGAAACCCUGACGCAGCAACGCCGCGUGGAGGAUGAAGCCCUUUGGGGCGUAAACUCCUUUCGACCAAGACGAUAAUGACGGUACUGGUGGAAGAAGCACCGGCUAACUCUGUGCCAGCAGCCGCGGUAAUACAGAGGGUGCAAGCGUUGUUCGGAAUUAUUGGGCGUAAAGGGCGCGUA